Molecule: ribosomal RNA, 492 nt
Filed under: uncultured bacterium
Lineage: Bacteria
Description: partial 16S ribosomal RNA
Rfam family: Bacterial small subunit ribosomal RNA
Source: RNAcentral
AGUGAACGCUGGCGGCAGGCCUAACACAUGCAAGUCGAACGGCAGCACAGUAAGAGUUUGCUCUUACGGGUGGCGAGUGGCGGGCGGGUGAGGAGUACAUCGGAAUCUACUUUUUCGGGGGGGAUAACGUGGGGAAACUUACGCUAAUACUGCAUACGACCUACGGGUGAGAGCAGGAGAUCUUCGGACCUUGCGCGAGUGAAUGAGCCGAUGUCGGAUUAGCUAGUUGGCGGGGUAAAGGCCCACCAAGGCGACGAUCCGUAGCUGGUCUGAGAGGAUGAUCAGCCACACUGGAACUGAGACACGGUCCAGACUCCUACGGGAGGCAGCAGUGGGGAAUAUUGCACAAUGGGCGCAAGCCUGAUCCAGCCAUACCGCGUGGGUGAAGAAGGCCUUCGGGUUGUAAAGCCCUUUUGUUGGGAAAGAAAAGCAGCAGGUUAAUACCCCGCUGUUCUGACGGUACCCAAAGAAUAAGCACCGGCUAACUUCGUG